GUGAAUCAUCGAAUUUUUGAACGCAAAUUGCACUCUCCUCUGAGAGUAUGCCUGUUUGAGGGUCAGCCUAUAAAAAUCGACAUCGUUUCGGUUUCGCGGUGGGGGUCGUCGGAAAUUGGGUCAUCUUAAAUCCUUUUGAUUUACGCUACUUAAAAGUUUGUUGUGGUUCCAUGAACGUUGCUAAA
RNAcentral lists this unclassified non-coding RNA (185 nucleotides) under Glomus sp. RNAcentral describes it as "partial contains 5.8S ribosomal RNA and internal transcribed spacer 2". The stretch from base 1 to 65 matches the Rfam family "5.8S ribosomal RNA", at positions 84 to 154 of the family's 154-position model. Lineage: Eukaryota; Fungi; Glomeromycota; Glomeromycetes; Glomerales; Glomeraceae. The record is from RNAcentral.